RNAcentral lists this unclassified non-coding RNA (215 nucleotides) under Hevea brasiliensis (rubber tree). Lineage: Eukaryota; Viridiplantae; Streptophyta; Magnoliopsida; Malpighiales; Euphorbiaceae. The record is from RNAcentral.
AAUGGCGAGGGAUGAGGUCAGGCCGGGCGACUCGAUCCCGAACAGGUUGACCAGCCCCGCAAGACCAUGGUCCUGCGGGCCUUGGAUCACGAAAUCCUGCCGCCCACGGCGGGCGGUACGAUCUUGGGCCGGAUUCCCGAAUAGCUCGGGGCCAGGGCGCCGUCGGGAAGCGUUGGCCAGUAACGGCGGAUCGCCGGAUAGAACCGCUCGGCCCG